This 564-nucleotide long non-coding RNA is filed under the name Phoenix dactylifera (date palm). RNAcentral's name for it is "long non-coding RNA (PDAC_LNC015895)". The record is from RNAcentral. Lineage: Eukaryota; Viridiplantae; Streptophyta; Magnoliopsida; Arecales; Arecaceae.
GAGCAUGAAAUGAACCUGGAAUCUACCAAAUCCUCAAUAAUUUAUUGAGAUAAUAAAUUUUAAAAUGAUGCAUGCAGGACUUGGAACCAAAGUUACCGAUAAUAAUUUCUAGCAGCAUUACCCAAACCCAUUCACGGGAAUCCCUUUCUGUUCCCCUAUAAACAAGCCUUUUAAUACGAAUACACCUCACGUAGAUUAUAUAUCUUGCAUUAGAUACUAUGCAUUGAGCUGAUCUUUGGUCUUGCAAGAACAUAAAUGAUUGGACCUCAUAACUAAACCCAAAUGGUUCUUGCUAUAUAUAUGCUCACCAGAUAUCAGGCCUCACAAGAUUUGUCAGAGCCCAGCCAAAGAAGAAAUGGGAUUGCUUUCUUUUGGCUCUGUUCUUUAUGAGGUUGGAAUUUUGGUCUAAAAUAUCCUCUGCUUCAUGGAUGCUGAGAUGAGGACCUAUCCUGCAAGGUGUAAUUUAUGUCAGGGAAGAGCACUGCUCCUCUCUUCUCCUUAUCUUCUUUUAUUAAAUGAAGAAAAACCGUUCAUGAGACCAACCAAAAUAAAGCCUACAAACAU